This 73-nucleotide transfer RNA is filed under the name Acropora cervicornis. RNAcentral's name for it is "tRNA-Thr". It matches the Rfam family "tRNA". Rfam says of the family: Transfer RNA (tRNA) molecules are approximately 80 nucleotides in length. Lineage: Eukaryota; Metazoa; Cnidaria; Anthozoa; Scleractinia; Acroporidae. The record is from RNAcentral.
GGUUUCAUAGCUCAGUUGGUUAGAGCGUCACACUGGUAUCGUGAGGUCACUGGUUCAAACCCUGAUGAAGUCC